UACAGAGAGUGCAAACGUUGUUCGGAAUUACUGGGCUUGAAGCGCACGUAGGCGGCGUUGUAAGUGUCGGGUGAAAUCCCACGGCUCACCCGUGGAACUGCCCGGCAUACUGCGAUGCUAGAGUGUGGUAGGGGAGAGCGGAACUCCUGGUGGAGCGGUGAAAUGCGUAGAGAUCGGAAGGAACGUCGAUGGCGAAGGCAGUCACCUGGCAUCAUACUGACGCUGAGGCGCGAAAGCGUGGGGAGCAAACAGG
Molecule: ribosomal RNA, 253 nt
Filed under: uncultured bacterium
Lineage: Bacteria
Description: partial 16S ribosomal RNA
Rfam family: Bacterial small subunit ribosomal RNA
Source: RNAcentral